Molecule: long non-coding RNA, 4713 nt
Filed under: Triticum aestivum (bread wheat)
Lineage: Eukaryota; Viridiplantae; Streptophyta; Magnoliopsida; Poales; Poaceae
Description: long non-coding RNA (TAES_LNC008331)
Source: RNAcentral
UAGUCAGAACAUGGAUUGACGUUGGACAAGCUGAUUGUGGCAUGCGCUGUCCUGAUCUGUUCUCCGCUUUGUCUGAAAUCCUGGAGAGGCUUUGCUGAAACUCUGCAUGUGUGGCUGAGCUGUCUGUUGAUUACUUUGUAUCUUGAUUUUUAUCAGUGAGGUUUAAAUUGAUGGUACUAUUUAUUCAUGUAAUGUACUGUCUGACCUAGUGCUAUUUAGUCCCUGAUUAUGUCUGGUUUGCAUGGUUAAAUGCAUCUAAACUAGUUGCACCGGGCAUAUAUGACAGCCAUUGUCACAAGAAAUGGCUUGAUCUGUUGGUGCCCAAAUUUACCCUACCAAUAGUGCUAUAAUACUUUGGCUUUCGCUUUGCUUGUUUGCCAAAAUCUUGGUUGCCUAUGUAAUCUUGCUGGCGCCUCACAAUCCCUGCACAGAUCUUGCCAUUUUAUUACUGAAAAAGACUUUUGCCUUGAAAGUGACACUAAAGGAACGUAAAUGGGGUGAACAUUGCCACCGUGAAGAAGUGAAGCUGCAUAUGAUGCCUUUAAGAAGGGGAUGACACCGGAGCGCUGCCAUUGCUUGAUCUGAGGAUUAGAGUUUCCUUGGAGCAACAUGACGGGCAAUGAAAGCUGUGAUGAUGCUUUCAAAAAGGGAACAAGCUUCGCAGCCGCUGGUCCGUCUGAAGAUAAAGUAGGUUUUCACCUUGGCCAUCACUCACCGCCAUCGAACGCCACAUCCCGACUACCAUGUCGCCCACACGGCCGUUGCAAUCAAACCGCGGGCACAUCCCGGCUACCAAACCGCGGGCUCUGCCCAUGAGCACCGCGGAACCACCACUAGGACCCGCCUUUUCGCACCCGGGCGGCCCCCAGUGCUGAGACCCAAUAGGUUGGCCAAAACAUGCCUCCAUUGACCCGUCCUGCGGCACCCGGUGCGAGAGGAGCGAUGGACCAUAGCCGGGAGAUGGCCGACCCUUCGACGAAAGUGUAGCGCCCAGGCGACGAGGAAAGGAGUUGAAGACCGACACAGACCGCCUACAGACGAGCCAACGCCGGAAAAGCCAACCGCCGCCGCAACCGAUCUGCCACCACCACAGCACCAACGCCUCCACGCCCUGGCCAGAUCCGCCCGGAGCCCCGCCACUUCGCACCAGAGCAGCGAGAACGCCAGCCGCAUCACCACCACCACAUCACGGCCGCCGACCACCCCUGCCAUCGGCUACCAUCACCAUCCACCGGAUCAAUCCGUUGCCCCCGCCAACCACCACCAUCCAGAACAGAGCAGGAGGCCAGAUCCGCCGCUAGUCGACCCCUGGAUACCGAAGCCCCCGAGACGUGCUGGAGGGAGGGGAGGAGGCGGCGCUGGCGGCCACAGGACGCCGGUAGGAGGGAGAGGGCCGAAGCAGGGCCGACCCGACGCCCGACGCCACCAAGCAGGGAGAGGCGCCCCGCGAUGCCACCAGCUGCGCACGGGAGGGAGCCGCCCCACCGCCGCCAACGCCAUGCGGCCUUAGGCCGGCGACGCCCCUGGCGGCGGCGAGGGAGGGGGGCAGGGAGGCGACACUAGGGUUUCCUCCUGGGGGCGCCUCGGGGAGGGAGGGAGAAGCGUUUUCUUCCUCGUCAUUUUUGUUUCUGGUUCUUCCCUUUCAACAAGCCUUCUUGCCAUUUUAUUUCCUCUAGCCAAUUUUGUUUGGCUGGUUAAUGGUUGAUGAAAAUUGGUAGGGCAUGAGUCAAAGGCCAACAUCUUACUGUUUCCUCCUGGUUGCCACAGAGCAUGCUCACAAACGCUGAUAGUUUCUUAAGUAUGAGUUCACAAAUCGCAACAGUCAUAUAUUAUCAGAAGGAGAUGUAUUUCUCAAAUAAUAAAACAACACAAUAGGAGAAUCCUACAGAACUUAAAUGCAACCAUCAUUAUACCCCAAAAUUACAAAUCACUGUUUUCUGCAGCGAUAACAAUCUGAAGAGGCACCAUUUCUGUAUAUUCAAAAACAAUUUUACAGAAAUGGGGAAAAGCCGAGCCUUCGUUUCCAACAAUGGUAGACAUCUAAGUGAGAACUGCAAGCACAUUUACUAAUCUAAGAGGCAAAUAUGGUUCUGGGUCUCACCAUGAAAUAUGUGUGUUUGAUAGCGAUUUCAGUUAGAUUAUUGUGGCAGUGGGGCAUUUGCAGCUAAAUGUUCUAACCGCUGUGGUGGGAGCGGCGGCGGCCACUGUCGAUCCUGAGGUUGCUGUGCCUGCUGCGGUGGUGGCCACUGUGGAUCCUGAGGUCGCUGUGCCUGCUGCGGAACAUCGCCGUGCCAUGACCAAACAAUGUCCUUGAGUGAUGGCCUAAUGUCUUCUUUCAACAGUUUCUGGUACUCCAUGGUGUCACCAUUGGUCUUCUUCAACUCGACUAAGAGAAAAGACGACGCGAGCUCAUAGAUUUCUGCAUCAAACUCAAGAGUACCCUUCUUUCCUUCCCUCGGCGCGGCCAAUUUCAUCGCUCCAUUGUCUUUCUUUAUAACUUUAAGCUUGAUGCGUUGGGCAAGUUCCUCCAGCUUCACAAAUACAGCUGCUGGCGGCUCUUUGGAAGCAAACCGGGCCUCCCUUUGGCUAUAUCUUUCAUCGAACAAACCAGAUAGAUCGAACCCAGGAGUGAGGGAAAUGAUAUUAAAUGCAUUCAUGCUCGCCGGUCCGUCGGAACUGUUGCGACAUGCAAGGCCAGACGCAGCAGCUUCGCUCGCAUAGGUCUUGUCUUUUCUCAGUGGUGUUCUCUCAACCGGCUUCCUAUACCAUGGGCUUCUCUUUAUCCUUGCGAUGGACAUUCUAGUAUUAGGAUCUGGAUCAAGGAUCCCAUUAAGGAGCUCUUUCAGCUCAGUGGAAAAAUAGCGAGGGCAUCUGUACUCAGCCUUGGCAAUCUUUCUAUACAACUCCAUAAGGUUUCUUUCAUGGAAAGGAAGAUAACCGGCAACAAGAACAAACAGAAUCACUCCACAAGACCAUACAUCUGCCCUUGCACCGUUGUAGCCUUUCCUGCUGAGCACUUCCGGAGCAACAUAAGCCGGAGUUCCACAUGCGGUGUGGAGCAGACCAUCUCGCCACUUUGACUUGGUUAGCGCACUUAAACCAAAAUCAGAGACCCUAAGGGUCCCAUACUCAUCCACUAGCAGGUUUUCAGGCUUCAAGUCACGAUGAUAAACACCUCUACUGUGGCAAAAAUCUAUAGCAGAGAUCAACUGGUGAAAAUAUUUCCUUGCCCCAUCCUCACUAAGCUUCCCCUUGGCUAAUUUGUUGAAAAGCUCACCGCCUUUAGCAUACUCCAGAAUGAAAUAAAUCUUGCUCCUGGUAGCCAUUACCUCAAAAAGCUGCAGAACAUUCGGAUGCCUCACGAUCCUCAUUAUCGAGAUCUCCCUCUUUAUCUGAUCCACGAGACCAACCUUCAAGAUCUUGUCCUUAUCGAUCAUUUUUAUGGCAACAGGCUGACCAUUUGCUAGAUUGCGAGCAUAGUAUACCUUUGCAAAGGUGCCUUGUCCCAAUUGCCUCCCGAUUUCAUAACGCUGGGUCAAAACAGUCCUCUCUUCCAUUAUAUAAGCACAAAGCCUGAAUUUUUAUGAUGGUCUAUCCACAGAUUGGUUCAGACUCGGAGAUGAAUGUUAGAGAAGACAGAGUCCCUCUCUCCAUCACGCUUCGGAAAUCGGAACACGGAGGAGUGGAAUGAAACCAGUCUGCAAUCCACCACUCAUCAGAACCGAGCAAAUGAACCUGGGACGACGCAGUGGUGACUUUGUCGCUAGACAAUUGCCUCUUCCAGCACGAGCACAAGUGAAUCACCUUCAGCCGUCACCAGCCUGACAAAAUCUACCUGCAAAACAGAAUAAACUAGAUCAGAACACAUGUGCAAGUGUAUAACACACACAUGACAAAUCUUCGGGGAAUGAGGGUACUCCCUCCCAUCCAGAUUAAUUUGUACUAAAUCAGCGACAAUUAAUAUGGACAGGAGGGAGUAGUAUUUUUACACCCGCCAUUAUAAUUUGUGAAUCGAACAUCCAACCCACUUUUCCAUAAGAAGAACGCAGAGAUAUAUUAUCUCGGGAUCCCACAUGCUUACCAGGGCAAACUCUGAGAUCUGAAAUGGUAAAAUUGGGACAUUAAACAGCAUGGCCAAAGCUCGCACGAAACUGGGUGUCCUCUGCAAGAUUUACGACAAGUGUAACUACAACAUUGUGCAAUCGGGUCGCGGAACAGGAGCGUUAAGCUCCCAGAAUUGAGGCGACAAAAUAGAGAAAGAAAAAUGCUCGCAGAUUCCAAUCAGAUCGAGCGAAACCAAGAACCGGAUCACAGUUCAGGGGCCAGGCUAUUAACCUCACCUGAUCUGAAGACGAACGGAAUUCCCAAGUCCCACAAACGGAUGGAUUCGAUUGGAUUAUACCGCGAGGCAGACGGAGGGUGGCACCUUCGGGACAUUCGUGAUUCCUAUUGCGGCAUUGCACGGCGGCUCGCUGGCGGCGAGGAGGCUGGCUCGGCUUCUCCGGCUCCCUUCCUUCCUCCUACGUGUGGUGGAGCGGUCGACACGCUGCGUUAGGCUGGUGGUGGGUGGCGAUGUGGGGACCCAAGUUAUUUUUUCCUGUUUUUGCCCUCGGUUCUUGCGAGUUUCUGUGGGACGGACGGUUAGCGGGCUCACCUGCACUGCCCAAACUUGCGAUAACAUUAUCUUUCUUUUUAGGGAGACUCAAAAAAAAA